UACAGAGGGUGCGAGCGUUAAUCGGAAUUACUGGGCGUAAAGGGCGCGUAGGCGGUUAGUUAAGUUAGAUGUGAAAUCCCUGGGCUUAACCUAGGAAUGGCAUCUGAAACUGGCUAGCUGGAGUGCGGUAGAGGGUAGUGGAAUUUCCGGUGUAGCGGUGAAAUGCGUAGAUAUCGGAAGGAACACCAGUGGCGAAGGCGGCUACCUGGACUGACACUGACGCUGAGGCGCGAGAGCGUGGGGAGCAAACAGG
This 253-nucleotide ribosomal RNA is filed under the name uncultured bacterium. RNAcentral describes it as "partial 16S ribosomal RNA". It matches the Rfam family "Bacterial small subunit ribosomal RNA", at positions 524 to 776 of the family's 1533-position model. The record is from RNAcentral.